UACGUAGGGCGCAAGCGUUGUCCGGAAUUAUUGGGCGUAAAGAGCUCGUAGGCGGUCUGUCGCGUCGGCUGUGAAAUCCCGGAGCUCAACUCCGGGUCUGCAGUCGAUACGGGCAGACUGGAGUUCGGCAGGGGAGACUGGAAUUCCUGGUGUAGCGGUGAAAUGCGCAGAUAUCAGGAGGAACACCGGUGGCGAAGGCGGGUCUCUGGGCCGAUACUGACGCUGAGGAGCGAAGGCGUGGGGAGCGAACAGG
RNAcentral lists this ribosomal RNA (253 nucleotides) under uncultured bacterium. RNAcentral describes it as "partial 16S ribosomal RNA". It matches the Rfam family "Bacterial small subunit ribosomal RNA", at positions 524 to 776 of the family's 1533-position model. The record is from RNAcentral.